CUGUGCUAGAUGGGAAGUUGGCGGUGUCCUGUAACCUGCAAUCCGCCUUAGCAGGGUCGAACGCCUAUUAGAGGCCUGUCGUUGUGAGGUCUGCCCCGUACAAGUGGCGAUGAGAUUUGGGUCUUGUGCAAUGAAAGCCUAUGAACCUCGUCAGAUCCGGAAGGAAGCAGCGAUAAGUAGUCACUUUCAUGUGCCACAAGGGUGCCUGAGUUGAGUUAACUAUACGGGUCACGCUUGUAACGGCUUGUCGAUAUAGGUGCACAG
RNAcentral lists this signal recognition particle RNA (264 nucleotides) under Anaeromicrobium sediminis. RNAcentral describes it as "Bacterial large signal recognition particle RNA". It matches the Rfam family "Bacterial large signal recognition particle RNA". Rfam says of the family: The signal recognition particle (SRP) is a universally conserved ribonucleoprotein involved in the co-translational targeting of proteins to membranes. Archaeal SRP consists of a 7S RNA and homologues of the eukaryotic SRP19 and SRP54 proteins. The record is from Rfam by way of RNAcentral. Lineage: Bacteria; Bacillati; Bacillota; Clostridia; Peptostreptococcales; Thermotaleaceae.